This 632-nucleotide ribosomal RNA is filed under the name Globigerinoides elongatus. Its description in RNAcentral is "partial small subunit ribosomal RNA". The stretch from base 1 to 366 matches the Rfam family "Eukaryotic small subunit ribosomal RNA", at positions 1294 to 1501 of the family's 1831-position model. The record is from RNAcentral. Lineage: Eukaryota; Foraminifera; Rotaliida; Globigerinidae.
UUAGUUCGUGGAGUGAUCUGUCUGCUUAAUUGCGUUUCAAAAUUUAAACCUGAGCGACAAGGUGCUGCUAUCGAAACUGUCUUUGAGUGUGAACUAUAAGUCUUUUGACUUAUGACCAUCACUCUAGACGUUUAUGUUUUGGUGUUGGCCCUUGAUGCUCAUUUGAACGCAACGGACGUGAUUGCAACCCCUUGUUGAGAUUUAUCCGAUCUCUACGUUCACUGAACCACACUCUUUAGCGAGAGCAGUGGGGAUGUGGAUAAACUCGGGGGACUGCUGACUAUAAACUUUUCUCAAACCAGAGGAAGGUUGCGGCAAUAACAGGUCUGUGAUGCCCUCAGAUGUUCCGGGCUGCACACGUGCUACAUUUAGUAGCGCAGUGUGCACAUUAAUAGAGUGAUAGGUUCCGUGGUUUGUACAUUUUAAGGGCUCGUCCUAGUAACCAAAGCUCCACGGGACAUAUCAACCUUCCCCUUACAGGGCGGGUAACCUCUUCGAAGUGCUGGCAUGAUUUCCCUAGUUUUGGCAUUUGAAUCCUUGUCGCAGCAGCCCUGAGACGUAGUGAACGCUGCAAAGUGAUUCCAGUCUUAGGUUUGCGACACAUGCAAUUCCUGGUUGACUCAUCGUGGGGA